RNAcentral lists this small RNA (575 nucleotides) under Pan troglodytes (chimpanzee). RNAcentral's name for it is "retained intron". Lineage: Eukaryota; Metazoa; Chordata; Mammalia; Primates; Hominidae. The record is from RNAcentral.
GUUGUUGAGUGAAUUGUUAGAACAUCUUCUGGAGAAGGACAUCAUCACCUUGGAAAUGAGGGAGCUCAUCCAGGCCAAAGUGGGCAGUUUCAGCCAGAAUGUGGAACUCCUCAACUUGCUGCCUAAGAGGGGUCCCCAAGCUUUUGAUGCCUUCUGUGAAGCACUGAGGGAGACCAAGCAAGGCCACCUGGAGGAUAUGUUGCUCACCACCCUUUCUGGGCUUCAGCAUGUACUCCCACCGUUGAGCUGUGACUACGACUUGAGUCUCCCUUUUCCGGUGUGUGAGUCCUGUCCCCUUUACAAGAAGCUCCGCCUGUCGACAGAUACUGUGGAACACUCCCUAGACAAUAAAGAUGGUCCUGUCUGCCUUCAGGUGAAGCCUUGCACUCCUGAAUUUUAUCAAACACACUUCCAGCUGGUGAGUUUUUGCAUAAUGACAAGAGGAAGGGAGUUGGGAAAUUAGACACCCUUCCUGGGAACCUGAACUUAGUUUGCAUGUACAUUUCCUUUAUGCCUUAUUAGUCAGAAAGUUGUUACUGGUUAAAUGCCUUCUGUGAGCAUUUGUCUAUUUUUAC